Molecule: unclassified non-coding RNA, 250 nt
Filed under: uncultured Powellomyces
Lineage: Eukaryota; Fungi; Chytridiomycota; Chytridiomycetes; Spizellomycetales; Powellomycetaceae
Description: sequence contains ITS2
Source: RNAcentral
UGUUCUCACAAACUAUAUGGGUUGCAAAACCCCUAUGGGGCGUGGAUUUGGGCAUUUUUGCUAUGGUGCCUUUGUGCAACAUGGCAAUUGCCUUAAAAUGAUUGCGUGUAUGCCCCAAUUGGUAGUAAUUGGUUUACCCUCAAUGCAACAGUCAAAUGAAACAUUUUGGGGGACCUUUUGUGAACAUUGGACUUGGAAUACACUUCCAUUCUAUACAGCAACCGUCUCUAGUAUUGAGAUUGUUUCUGAA